CUUGCUAGGAUGCUGACGAGCGGCGGACGGGUGAGUAAUGCAUAGGAAUCUGCCCGAUAGUGGGGGAUAACCUGGGGAAACCCAGGCUAAUACCGCAUACGUCCUACGGGAGAAAGGGGGCUCCGGCUCCCGCUAUGGGAUGAGCCUAUGUCGGAUUAGCUAGUUGGUGAGGUAACGGCUCACCAAGGCCACGAUCCGUAGCUGGUCUGAGAGGAUGAUCAGCCACAUCGGGACUGAGACACGGCCCGAACUCCUACGGGAGGCAGCAGUGGGGAAUAUUGGACAAUGGGGGAAACCCUGAUCCAGCCAUGCCGCGUGUGUGAAGAAGGCCCUCGGGUUGUAAAGCACUUUCAGCGAGGAAGAACGCCUAGCGGUUAAUACCCGCUAGGAAAGACAUCACUCGCAGAAGAAGCACCGGCUAACUCCGUGCCAGCAGCCGCGGUAAUACGGAGGGUGCAAGCGUUAAUCGGAAUUACUGGGCGUAAAGCGCGCGUAGGUGGCUUGAUAAGCCGGUUGUGAAAGCCCCGGGCUCAACCUGGGAACGGCAUCCGGAACUGUCAAGCUAGAGUGCAGGAGAGGAAGGUAGAAUUCCCGGUGUAGCGGUGAAAUGCGUAGAGAUCGGGAGGAAUACCAGUGGCGAAGGCGGCCUUCUGGACUGACACUGACACUGAGGUGCGAAAGCGUGGGUAGCAAACAGGAUUAGAUACCCUGGUAGUCCACGCCGUAAACGAUGUCGACCAGCCGUUGGGUGCCUAGCGCACUUUGUGGCGAAGUUAACGCGAUAAGUCGACCGCCUGGGGAGUACGGCCGCAAGGUUAAAACUCAAAUGAAUUGACGGGGGCCCGCACAAGCGGUGGAGCAUGUGGUUUAAUUCGAUGCAACGCGAGAACCUUACCUACUCUUGACAUCCUG
Molecule: ribosomal RNA, 912 nt
Filed under: uncultured bacterium
Lineage: Bacteria
Description: bacterial SSU rRNA
Rfam family: Bacterial small subunit ribosomal RNA
Source: RNAcentral